GUGAGUCUCUAGGGGAUUAGC
Molecule: microRNA, 21 nt
Filed under: Drosophila melanogaster (fruit fly)
Lineage: Eukaryota; Metazoa; Arthropoda; Insecta; Diptera; Drosophilidae
Description: dme-miR-4919-5p
Source: miRBase by way of RNAcentral